GUAGGGAAUCUUGCGCAAUGGGCGAAAGCCUGACGCAGCCAUGCCGCGUGAAUGAUGAAGGUCUUAGGAUUGUAAAAUUCUUUCACCGGGGACGAUAAUGACGGUAACCGGAGAAGAAGCUCCGGCUAACUUCGUGCCAGCAGCCGCGGUAAUACGAAGGGGGCUAGCGUUGCUCGGAAUUACUGGGCGUAAAGGGCGCGUAGGCGGAUAUUUAAGUCGGGGGUGAAAGCCCGGGGCUCAACCUCGGAAUAGCCUUCGAUACUGGAUAUCUUGAGUACGGGAGAGGUGUGUGGAACUCCGAGUGUAGAGGUGAAAUUCGUAGAUAUUCGGAAGAACACCAGUGGCGAAGGCGACUCACUGGCCCGUUACUGACGCUGAGGCGCGAAAGCGUGGGGAGCAAACAGGAUUAGAAACCCUGGUAGUCC
Molecule: ribosomal RNA, 425 nt
Filed under: uncultured bacterium
Lineage: Bacteria
Description: partial 16S ribosomal RNA
Rfam family: Bacterial small subunit ribosomal RNA
Source: RNAcentral